This 253-nucleotide ribosomal RNA is filed under the name uncultured bacterium. Its description in RNAcentral is "partial 16S ribosomal RNA". It matches the Rfam family "Bacterial small subunit ribosomal RNA", at positions 524 to 776 of the family's 1533-position model. The record is from RNAcentral.
UACGGAGGGUGCAAGCGUUGUCCGGAUUUAUUGGGUUUAAAGGGUGCGUAGGCGGCCCGGUAAGUCAGUGGUGAAAGCCUCCAGCUCAACUGGAGAACUGCCAUUGAUACUGCCGGGCUUGAGUACAGACGAGGUUGGCGGAAUUGAUUGUGUAGCGGUGAAAUGCAUAGAUACAAUCAAGAACUCCGAUUGCGUAGGCAGCUAACUAGGCUGUAACUGACGCUGAGGCACGAAGGCCAGGGGAGCAAACGGG